This is a long non-coding RNA of Nematostella vectensis (starlet sea anemone), 1990 nucleotides long. RefSeq lists it as uncharacterized. The transcript is spliced from 2 exons. Lineage: Eukaryota; Metazoa; Cnidaria; Anthozoa; Actiniaria; Edwardsiidae. The record is from RefSeq and is a predicted model, not a curated record.
AGAUUCGUACCGCGAGAUCGUAGCAGCGAAUCAGCUUGUCCAAGCAGGAAGAGACAAAUUCGUACCGCGAGAUCGUAGCAGCGAAUCAGCUUGUCCAAGCAGGAAGAGACAAGUAAGUUUGUUAUUUAUAGUUCUGUUAAUAUUACUAGAUUCGUACCGCGAGAUCGUAGCAGCGAAUCAGCUUGUCCAAGCAGGAAGAGACAAGUAAGUUUGUUAUUUAUAGUUCUGUUAAUAUUACUAGAUUCGUACCGCGAGAUCGUAGCAGCGAAUCAGCUUGUCCAAGCAGGAAGAGACAAGGACCCGCCCGACUACCUGCAGACCGCUGACACUCAGUGUAUGCCCUUUGUAACUACGCACCAGCUCGCCAGUCUGUGGGAAAGAGAGAGUUACUUGCCAUUAUUUGCCGAGAAUUAGCAAGGAGGGCAUUGAAAUUCUUCUCAGCAGAUGAUUCCCCUAGAGAAAAGAGAACAUGACGGAACACGAGAAAACGUACGUGUUUCACGGGCCUUUUACUUACGUUGAGGUUGUGCGCAAGAACUUGAUUGUCGGCCGCACCACUGUAAAUGAAAUUCUCCACUACCUGUAAAGAAAUGGAAAUAGUUUUUUUUUUACAUCAAGUGGAAGAAAUGGAAGAAAUAUUAUCGUUGCCAGCCCUAAAUUUGAAUUACAGAUAAAGUAACAAGGAAGAGAGAGGGGUUGGUCUCCCCUUUAAAGAAAUCCUGGAUCCUCACUUGAGACACGCUUUUUUUUCUUAACCUUAUUUAAUUGCAUAAAUAUCUUUAACGACAUUUUCAAGUGGGUGUGGUUGAGGAACUGGCUAGGGGCCGGUUGCACAAAGCUUGGACAAGUUUUUUCCACCGGUUAAAUCCUGAUCCAGCGGAUAAAACCUAUUUAAGUGGUGUGAUUCGGUUGCACAAUCCACAAUCUACUGGAUAGGGAUUUUAUCCGGUGGGUAGCGCCUAUUCGGCCGGCCUCUGACCGUUACUCGUACAGUCCCUAAGUGAGUGUGGUUUUGGACUAGCCUUACUGUUACCCGUACAGUUCCUGAGUGACUGUGGUUGUGGACUAGCCUGUUACCCGUACAGUUCCUAAAUGAGUGUGGUUGUGGACUAGCCUGUUACCCGUACAGUUCCUAAGUGAGUGUGGUUGUGGACUAUCCUUACUGUUACCCGUACAGUUCCUAAGUGAGUGUGGUUGUGGACUAGCCUGUUACCCGUACAGUUCCUAAAUGAGUGUGGUUGUGGACUAGCCUGUUACCCGUACAGUUCCUAAGUGAGUGUGGUUGUGGACUAGCCUUACUGUUACCCGUACAGUUCCUAAGUGAGUGUGGUUGUGGACUAGCCUUACUGUUACCCGUACAGUUCCUAAGUGAGUGUGGUUGUGGACUAGCCUGACUGUUACCCGUACAGUUCCUAAGUGAGUGUGGUUGUGGACUAGCCUUACUGUUACCCGUACAGUUCCUGAGUGAGUGUGGUUGUGGACUAGCCUUACUGUUACCCGUACAGUUCCUAAGUGAGUGUGGUUGUGGACUAGCCUUACUGUUACCCGUACAGUUCCUAAGUGAGAGUGGUUGUGGACUAGCCUUACUGUUACCCGUACAGUUCCUAAGUGAGAGUGGUUGUGGACUAGCCUUACUGUUACCCGUACAGUUCCUAAGUGAGAGUGGUUGUGGACUAGCCUUACUGUUACCCGUACAGUUCCUAAGUGAGUGCGGUUGUGGACUAGCCUGACUGUUACCCGUACAGUUCCUAAGUGAGUGUGGUUGUGGACUAGCCUGUUACCCGUACAGUUCCUAAGUGAGUGUGGUUGUGGACUAGCCUUACUGUUACCUGCAAACACAGCACCGUCAUCGUGUGGCUUUUUAUUGUUCUGAUGAGAAGUCCGCUCUGUGGAUAGAGGUAUGGACAGCUAUAGCUAUAGCGCAUCACUCGCGCGACACUUGCAGGGGGUGAAGAGUGAUUUGGUGUUAUUAAAUGAUGAAUACAACGGC